Molecule: ribosomal RNA, 468 nt
Filed under: uncultured bacterium
Lineage: Bacteria
Description: partial 16S ribosomal RNA
Rfam family: Bacterial small subunit ribosomal RNA
Source: RNAcentral
GACGAACGCUGGCGGCGUGCUUAACACAUGCAAGUCGAACGGAAAGGCCCUGCUUUUGUGGGGUGCUCGAGUGGCGAACGGGUGAGUAACACGUGAGUAACCUGCCCUGUACUUUGGGAUAACUGCAGGAAACUGGGGCUAAUACCGGAUAGGAGCUCCUGCUGCAUGGUGGGGGUUGGAAAGUUUCGGCGGUUGGGGAUGGACGCGCGGCUUAUCAGCUUGUUGGUGGGGGAGUGGCUUACCAAGGCUUUGGCGGGUAGCCGGCCUGAGUGGGUGGACGGCCACAUUGGGACUGAGAUACGGCCCAGACUCCUACGGGAGGCAGCAGUGGGGAAUAUUGCACAAUGGGCGGAAGCCUGAUGAGGCAACGCCGCGUGCGGGAUGACGGCCUUCGGGUUGUAAACCGCUUUCGCCUGUGACGAAGCGUGAGUGACGGUAAUGGGUAAAGAAGCACCGGCUAACUACGUG